Anguilla anguilla (European eel) is the source of this 2672-nucleotide long non-coding RNA. RefSeq lists it as uncharacterized. The record is from RefSeq and is a predicted model, not a curated record. NCBI's taxonomy places the organism in Eukaryota, Metazoa, Chordata, Actinopteri, Anguilliformes, Anguillidae. The transcript has 3 exons.
GCGGGAUAUUUUGCACAUUUUGUAAUAUAGCCAUUAUUCAAGUGGAAAUAAAAAUGAGAAAAUAUUGCCAGCCCUUCUGUCUCAAGAAAGACAAUUUUCUUGAUUCACUUUCCAGCACAACUGAGUGUGACAGAUGGGAGAGGUUUUCUUUGUGUCGAUUUAGUUUAAUUCUCCAAAGCCAGACUUUAACACACAAAGAACUAGUGACGAAUAAAACCAUAAAAUGUGUAACAUUACAGUACAUUAUAAUACAAUUCAUACUAUAGUAUGUGUUCUUUUUUAAAGUAUAUAUUUUUCCUUAUUUAAAAUAUUUCAAUGCAGGGAUAUGUGUGUCCUGGAAUUAUUUCUGGGUAAUUGCAGGAGUGAAUAUAGAUAUUACCCUAAAUUUCACAUAGAAGGGAACACACUAAUGCAUCAUUUUUCCUCCAGUAGUAUACAGUUCUGCUUUAUUUUGAAUUCAAGUUCACAUUUAUUAUUUCAUUUAAGAAGAUGCUUAGUAGUAUUCCUCAUCCAGGUUUGGGUCGUAGGUGCCCUGUUCAUGCAGGAGGUAGGGUGGAAAUCGAGGUGGGAUGGGCUUUAUGCCAUAGUCUAGAAAAUGUUUGAAGACAUUUGAGAGCAUAUCCACACAAUACAUGUCUGUCAUGUUUAACAGAUAACUAUAUAUUUCUGUUUUUCAAGUAGCAGCCCAACAAUGAUGACAAUAUUUGGAUGUGGUGAAAAAAGAAAAAUACCAGGUAAUAUCUUACCAUCAAACAGGGUGAUGUGUUCCUUAUGAAAGUCUGGGUCAAACAGUGGCUCCAUUCUCAACUCCACGUUAUCUCUUGGUAAAAUGACAUCGGUUCUGGUAAACGAGGCAAAUGUUGUAUAGCCUACGUGAGAUUGUAUAUUAAUUAUUGGCCAUUUGAGAUCAUCUACUUUUUGACAAACACUUUUUGGCUUUAAAAGUUAGAGGACCCGUAUUUCAAAUAGGAGAUUAGCCAUCAAAACUCCAUAGCAAUCACACUUCUAAUAUACUAAGAGUGAAUAUACCAAAUGACUAUUAUCUUUAAAUUAGGUCAUUAAUGACUACAUUCAUGUAAAUUAAAAUGAUGCCCUCCUACUAGCACCACCGAGCAAAGUCUAAUAAAGCCGUUAAAGUUAGGCUACAAACAGCGUGUUCAUAACGUCAUCUGAGGACAGCCUACCUUUUCGGCAGAGGGACAGCGAGACUUAUUCCUGCAAACAUUAAUAGCAAAACAAAAAUAAUUUCCGCCCUCAUUUGGACGACUUUUUACUCUAAAAUGGUAAAGAAAAGCAUAACGUUAUAUGCUUAAUUUCGCCAUUCAACGAGAUUAGGCGAUAUUUUUCUCAAGACUUCCAUUUCACUUAAUGAUGUCACAAAAACGUUAAUUUUCAAACAAUUUAAAAAUACAUAUCAACAAAUUAUAACCGCAUUGUUGGGUUUAAAUCUGUGAAUACAUAUCCACAGUGACGGGCUAUGAAAUGCAGUUAGUGUUUAUUUGCUGAAACAGUAGGCCUACCUUAAUUGGUCUUUUCCUAUUAUUUAACAUUUGCACUUGAGGCCAUUUGCUAACUCGCUAAACUGUUUCCUGACGACUGAUGAAAAUAGCUAUUCUUUCCUGUGCGUUUGUAAUGUUCAUUCAUGCGCCUAUUAACAAGUUUAUUUAGCAUUUUAGGCCCUCAGACAGAUUUCUACUGUCACCAUAUUAGCCUACCCAAAAGUCCUAAAACUCCACAAUGUCCCGGGCCCCAUGGUAUUUGCCUGUCUUGCCUGUUCAUCCCGCCAAGUUACACUUUGGCGGGGCGGCAUACCCCAUAGGCUACCUAGCAGAUUCACUUCUGGGGGAAAGGCAGGGAUAAACCCUGACAAGUCACCAAUCCAUAAAAGAUGAACACUAUUUUAGUGUUCUGACCUCUUUAUACAGUCUAUGGUUCUAACCUAGGCGAGAAAGCCCCCUAGUGCAACACGAGGUUAACUGCAUCUGAAAGAUCAUGUUCUGAUGCUUGUGAAUGUCCAUUUCCCCCAGCUAGGCUAUAUAGCAGAGCGUGGGGAACAAUCGGCCGCUUGUUGGCGUGUUUUCUACUUUUAAAACAGUGUUAGUUAAAUGUAUGUCCAUCGUAUAUUUUGGAAAUCCCCACACAGCAAUAACGAGUCCUGCUUAACAGAUCUACAUGGAAUGGGGAAAUACAUUUUGUAACUGGAGACAGUUUACACGUCGGAUUUUUAAUCUUAUUGGUUAUUGCACCAGGUUCACUGUCCCUCUGGUAGCUCCACCAGCUUUCCUUGCAUGCCUCGUGGACACGAGGACUCGGCCCCCAUUGAAAAUAAUGGCGGCGAUUAUGAAGUCGCUUCUUGUCGGAGGAUGCUUUCCUAAAAGGUCACGGACUUGAAUGCAGAUGUUUGAAGGAGAAAUAUGCCAUUCCAGAUUGCAGUAUCAUCAGCGCCCAGAUGGGGGAGCUGUCUUACCAAGGUUAUUUGAGAAAAAUUAAAGGCUUUGAGGAUUCAGGUGUCAGGAGUGAACGAUCACACCUGGCACAACAGACAGAGAGAGAGAUUGUUGUGCUGAGUACAAGCUCUGGAUGUACUUCAGCAUAAUGCUGGAAUCUCGUAAUGCACAAUAACAGAAGGUCAGCACAACCAGCCCUGCUUAAUGCGGUUGGCACUCUGACAG